This 902-nucleotide ribosomal RNA is filed under the name uncultured crenarchaeote. RNAcentral describes it as "bacterial SSU rRNA". It matches the Rfam family "Archaeal small subunit ribosomal RNA", at positions 21 to 904 of the family's 1478-position model. Lineage: Archaea; Thermoproteati; Thermoproteota. The record is from RNAcentral.
CCUUACUGCUAUCGGGGUGGGACUAAGACAUGCGAGUCGAGCGUCUCUAGCUAUGUUGAGACGCGGCAGACGGCUCAGUAACACGUGGCUAACCUACCUUCAGGACGAGGAUAAACCCGGGAAACUGGGGCUAAUACUCGAUAGGUGAGGAUGUCUGGAAUGACUUCUCAUCCAAAGGGCAUUGGAAACAUGCUUUCAAUGUCGCCUGGGGAUGGGGCCGCGUCCGAUCAGGUUGUUGGUGAGGUAACGGCUCACCGAGCCUAUAACCGGUACGGGCCGUGAGAGCGGUAGCCCGGAGAUGGGUACUGAGACAAGGACCCAGGCCCCACGGGGCGCAGCAGUCGCGAAAACUCCGCAAUGCACGAAAGUGUGACGGGGCUACCCCGAGUGCCAUCCGCUGAGGGUGGCUUUUCUUUGGUAUAACUAGCCAUGGGAAUAAGGAGAGGGCAAGACUGGUGUCAGCCGCCGCGGUAAUACCAGCUCUCCGAGUGGUAGGGAUGAUAUUGGGCUUAAAGCGUCCGUAGCCGGCUUAGCAAGUCUCCUGUUAAAUUCAGCGACCUAAUCGUUGACCCGCGGGAGAUACUACUAGGCUAGGAGGCGGGAGAGGUCGACGGUACUUCUGGGGUAGGGGUGAAAUCCUAUAAUCCCGGGAGGACCACCAGUGGCGAAGGCUGUCGACUAGAACGCGCUCGACGGUGAGGGACGAAAGCUGGGGGAGCGAACCGGAUUAGAUACCCGGGUAGUCCCAGCCGUAAACGAUGCGAGCUAGGUGUUGGAAUGGCUACGUGCCAUUUCAGUGCCGCAGGGAAGCCAUUAAGCUCGCCGCCUGGGGAGUACGGCCGCGAGGCUGAAACUUAAAGGAAUUGGCGGGGAGCACCACAAGGCGUGAAGCUUGCGGUUCA